UUUGACCUCAAAUCAGGUAGGACUACCCGCUGAACUUAAGCAUAUCAAUAAGCGGAGGAAAAGAAACCAACAGGGAUUGCCUCAGUAGCGGCGAGUGAAGCGGCAAAAGCUCAAAUUUGAAAUCUGGCGUCUUUGGCGUCCGAGUUGUAAUUUGAAGAAGGUAUCUUUGGGCCCGGCUCUUGUCUAUGUUCCUUGGAACAGGACGUCACAGAGGGUGAGAAUCCCGUGCGAUGAGAUGACCCGGGUCUGUGUAAAGUUCCUUCGACGAGUCGAGU
RNAcentral lists this ribosomal RNA (275 nucleotides) under Candida albicans. RNAcentral's name for it is "partial 28S ribosomal RNA". It matches the Rfam family "Eukaryotic large subunit ribosomal RNA", at positions 1 to 270 of the family's 3401-position model. Lineage: Eukaryota; Fungi; Ascomycota; Pichiomycetes; Serinales; Debaryomycetaceae. The record is from RNAcentral.